Non-coding RNA from Marmota flaviventris (yellow-bellied marmot), 836 nucleotides. The record is from RefSeq and is a predicted model, not a curated record. Lineage: Eukaryota; Metazoa; Chordata; Mammalia; Rodentia; Sciuridae.
AGAAGCAUUUCUUUUCAGUUAUCAACAGGAUAUGUACGUGCCACUCAGAAUUAGGCUUUUUUACUCCUAGCUCCUUGCAAAGAAACAAGAGUGCUUGUCCGGCCUGAACUCCAGGUACCAAUAAAAGAAUGAAGAUGGCUUGGUACAAUUGCCAUCCUAUCUCACUUAAGAUGCUGUAUCUCAAAGAAUUUGAUAGAAACAAUCUGAUAUGGUGAGAAAUGCAUUGAGUAAGAGGCCUAAAAAUCUUUCUUCUGUUUCUAACUCUACCAUAGUUUAACCCUGUGACCUUGAACAAAGUACUAACUCUUUCUAGAUACAUCUCUUUAUCAACUAAAACUAGGUAGGGUUAUCACCAUUAUCUCUCCUACUUAACUUACAGGGAUUAUGCUGUGCUAACAUAAAAGUUAUUAACCACCUGUAACAUUAACUUUAAUUCUUAGGGAGAGAGACCAUGGCAGACGAUCCUGUAUUUUCUAUAGAACCUAGCACAGGGUUCCUAGGAUGGAACCUAUUGAAUAUAUGCUGAUUGAGUGAUGGGCUUUGACAUAGCCAAGUACUCAAAAAUCCAUGGAAUAAAAUAUUUUAUCCCAUACACAGAUAAGAAAUGAUUUGCUGAUGAGAUGAGGUAGGUAUGCCCAUAACAGAAUGGCAACUAGCAACAACCAAAGUUUGAGUAGCCCUUGAAAGCAGAUCACAAGUACUACUCUCUUUCUGAGGUCCAAAUAACAGCAUUGAUGAUACUCUAAGAUCUUGAGUUGUGCUGGUUUCUACUUAUAAAAACAGGUAACCAGUAUAUCUGAUCACCUGUAAUUUUAAAAUUUAUUCUUUUGCUCUUA